This 433-nucleotide ribosomal RNA is filed under the name uncultured bacterium. RNAcentral describes it as "partial 16S ribosomal RNA". It matches the Rfam family "Bacterial small subunit ribosomal RNA", at positions 29 to 507 of the family's 1533-position model. The record is from RNAcentral.
AACGAACGCUGGCGGCAGGCCUAACACAUGCAAGUCGAGCGCGCCCUUCGGGGUGAGCGGCGGACGGGUGAGUAACGCGUGGGAACGUGCCCUUUUCUACGGAAUAGCCUCGGGAAACUGAGAGUAAUACCGUAUACGCCCUUUGGGGGAAAGAUUUAUCGGAAAAGGAUCGGCCCGCGUUGGAUUAGGUAGUUGGUGGGGUAAUGGCCUACCAAGCCGACGAUCCAUAGCUGGUUUGAGAGGAUGAUCAGCCACACUGGGACUGAGACACGGCCCAGACUCCUACGGGAGGCAGCAGUGGGGAAUCUUAGACAAUGGGGGCAACCCUGAUCUAGCCAUGCCGCGUGAGUGAUGAAGGCCUUAGGGUUGUAAAGCUCUUUCAGCUGGGAAGAUAAUGACGGUACCAGCAGAAGAAGCCCCGGCUAACUCUGUG